This 484-nucleotide ribosomal RNA is filed under the name uncultured bacterium. RNAcentral describes it as "partial 16S ribosomal RNA". It matches the Rfam family "Bacterial small subunit ribosomal RNA", at positions 30 to 507 of the family's 1533-position model. The record is from RNAcentral.
AUUGAACGCUGGCGGCAGGCCUAACACAUGCAAGUCGAGCGGAUGAAUGGAGCUUUCUCCUGGAUUCAGCUGCGGACGGGUGAGUAAUGCCUAGGAAUCUGCCUGGUAGUGGGGGAUAACGUCCGGAAACGGGCGCUAAUACCGCAUACGUCCUGAGGGAGAAAGUGGGGGAUCUUCGGACCUCACGCUAUCAGAUGAGCCUAGGUCGGAUUAGCUAGUUGGUGGGGUAAAGGCCUACCAAGGCGACGAUCCGUAACUGGUCUGAGAGGAUGAUCAGUCACACUGGAACUGAGACACGGUCCAGACUCCUACGGGAGGCAGCAGUGGGGAAUCUUGGACAAUGGGCGAAAGCCUGAUCCAGCAAUGCCGCGUGUGUGAAGAAGGUCUUCGGAUUGUAAAGCACUUUAAGUUGGGAGGAAGGGCAGUAAGUUAAUACAUGGAUGUUUUGACGUUACCAACAGAAUAAGCCACGGCUAACUUCGUG